CCCUUAGAUGUUCUGGGCGGCCCGCGCACUACAAUGGCGUGUGCAGCGAGUGCCGAAGUAGAGUUUUCCGAGGUAUUCUUGCAAUGCUCGUUUUGAUGGGGAUAGACCCUUGCAACUGUUGGUUUUGAACGAGGAAUUCCUUGUAAGCAUGGUUUAUCAUCCGACGCUGACUGCGUCCCUGCCCUUUGUACACACCGCCCGUCGCUCCUACCGAUGAGUCGUCCGGUGAAGUUCGUAGACCUCGUGAUCGCGGAUCACUGGGGGAAGCAAAAUGAACCUCGCGGUUUAGAGGAAGGAGAAGUCGUAACA
This 309-nucleotide ribosomal RNA is filed under the name uncultured eukaryote. Its description in RNAcentral is "partial 18S ribosomal RNA". It matches the Rfam family "Eukaryotic small subunit ribosomal RNA", at positions 1470 to 1796 of the family's 1831-position model. The record is from RNAcentral.